RNAcentral lists this ribosomal RNA (445 nucleotides) under uncultured bacterium. RNAcentral describes it as "bacterial SSU rRNA". It matches the Rfam family "Bacterial small subunit ribosomal RNA", at positions 354 to 796 of the family's 1533-position model. The record is from RNAcentral.
GUAAGGAAUAUUGGACAAUGCCCGCAAGGGUGAUCCAGCCAUGCCGCGUGCAGGAAGACGGCCCUAUGGGUUGUAAACUGCUUUUGAACAAGAGAAAACCCCUUUACGUGUAAAGGGCUGAUAGUAUUGUUAGAAUAAGCAUCGGCUAACUUCGUGCCAGCAGCCGCGGUAAGACGAAGGAUGCAAGCGUUAUCCGGAUUCAUUGGGUUUAAAGGGUGCGUAGGCGGCCAGAUAAGUCAGUGGUGAAAUCCUGUUGCUUAACAACAGAACUGCCAUUGAUACUGUUUGGCUUGAGUAUAGUUGCUGUGGGCGGAAUAUGACAUGUAGUGGUGAAAUACAUAGAGAUGUCAUAGAACACCGAUUGCGAAGGCAGCUCACAAAACUAUAACUGACGCUGAGGCACGAAAGUGCGGGGAUCAAACAGGAUUAGAAACCCUAGUAGUCC